UUUCCUACAAUUCAGCUGAGUAUAUGCUCUCUAUGAACUACUUUCACAAACGCAGUGCAGGUGUGCUGACCCCUGCGAUUUCUCCAAAUGCGGGAAACUCGACUGCAUAAUUUGUGGUAGUGGGGGACUGCGUUCGCGCUCUCCCCUG
This 148-nucleotide small nuclear RNA is filed under the name Chelydra serpentina (North American snapping turtle). RNAcentral describes it as "U1 spliceosomal RNA (ENSCSRG00000004722.1)". It matches the Rfam family "U1 spliceosomal RNA", at positions 57 to 166 of the family's 166-position model. Rfam says of the family: U1 is a small nuclear RNA (snRNA) component of the spliceosome (involved in pre-mRNA splicing). Its 5' end forms complementary base pairs with the 5' splice junction, thus defining the 5' donor site of an intron. Lineage: Eukaryota; Metazoa; Chordata; Testudines; Chelydridae. The record is from RNAcentral.